GGAUCUAGCGGCACGGAAGGAAUUCGCCUGCGGAUGGGCGGAUGGCACACUGUAGGAGCGUACGCGAGGCGGUUCAGGGUUGCCAGGAUGGUGGCAUUGACCGGUUGCGACGGCGCGGUACCACAGGCCUGCCAAAGUGGUCUUCGCGGAACCGUGGCUUCCAGUUCGCAAGCUCCAGCGCGCGCACCACCUGUUCGAUGGAAUGACGACGUGGUCAGUUGUCGCAUGUUCUUUGUCCGUAUACCGGUCGCGUGAGCUGGGCUAUCGCCUGCCUGUACCUGCCACUCAAGACCUCAGCAUUCAAAUAGUGGUGCCACAGGCAGUGUUGCCGGGAAUUCUGGAAGAAACACUGGUGUGUUUACUUCAGUUGGUGUUGCGCCCGAACACCGAAGGUGCAUCAUCUAUUCAUCUGGGUGCAAGCUACACUGCUUUGGGGAAGUAGUCCGCAGACUGAACAUAAGGAGCGCAAGGGCAAGCCCAGCGACACAUGCCCCUGCCCCCACAAACUGCCACAAAGAAUACCUUGUGGCCAGGACGUACCACGUAAGUAUGAUGACCCAUACAACAGUGAAACAAUCCAGAAAGGUUACACUGGUAAUGUAUGAGUACUGGUAUGCCUUCACAACUGCAUCAAGAUAAUGUUAGUUAAGUUGUUUAGUUCAAAAUCAUACCCUUUUUUUUUAUGUGUGUGUAUAUAUGGACUCAGUGUAACUGUAUGGUGCCUGAACUCACCAAGAUAGUUUCCCUGUACAUCAAUGAAGGCCAGGGCCAGAUACCAAUACCAAGCUAUCUGCAAGAGUACUCAAAACAGUGAGCCAUGAAUCACAUUGCUCCCAGGAUUGAUUCUUAUGCAGCUGUGCUCACUUGCAACUUCUCCCUUCGAUGUAAGAUGAUUGGUACAUAAACUAUGGUCAGCAACAGGUACGCGAAGAGCAACUGUGUGAGUGGUGCAUUAACUCCUGCGCAGUUUUCAUGUUGGCCAACGAGAGAAAUUGAAAAAUUGAGUACGUACCAAGAUUAGCAAUGAGGGAGGAGGCGAAGCUUGAGGCCGCAACGGAGAAGGAGAUGAUCUGGCCGAGGAGCAGCACGAGCAGCAGGCCCCAUACGGCCUUCUUCU
Long non-coding RNA from Panicum hallii, 1117 nucleotides. RefSeq lists it as uncharacterized. The transcript is spliced from 4 exons. The record is from RefSeq and is a predicted model, not a curated record. NCBI's taxonomy places the organism in Eukaryota, Viridiplantae, Streptophyta, Magnoliopsida, Poales, Poaceae.